This 756-nucleotide small RNA is filed under the name Pan troglodytes (chimpanzee). RNAcentral's name for it is "processed transcript". Lineage: Eukaryota; Metazoa; Chordata; Mammalia; Primates; Hominidae. The record is from RNAcentral.
UGCUUCUGGAGGGGACAUGCCGGUGGUUCUCAUAGCAACCAGCACCAAAUGAAAGAGUACACGUCAUGGAAAUCACCUGCUAAGAAGCUGACUAAUGCAUUAAGCAAGUCCCUGAGCUGUGCUUCCAGCCGUGAACCUUUGCACCCCAUGUUCCCAGAUCAGCCUGAGAAGCCACUCAACUUGGCUCACAUCGUGCCUCCCAGACCUGUAACCAGCAUGAACGACACCCUGUUCUCCCACUCUGUUCCCUCCUCAGGAAGUCCUUUUAUUACCAGGAGGUUACCUGAGGGGAUAAGUGCCUCCAGCCCUGUGGCUGAAGAGCAUUCCCUCAUAAAGCUGUACGUAAAUCAGCUUGAUCACGGUGCACGCUCUCCUCCCAAGGACAGUGAAGUAGAGCAGAACAAACUGCUGGCUAGGGCUGCUCCAGCUUUUCUGAAGGGCAAAGGGAUACAGUACAGCCUGAAUGUGGCAGACAGGCUAGCUGAUGAACAUGUUCUCAUCGGGUUGUAUGUCAACAUGCUCCGGAACAACCCCUCAUGCAUGCUUGAGAGUUCAAACCGGCUUGAUGAAGAACACAGGCUAAUUGCCAGGUAUGCGGCAAGGCUGGCAGCAGAGUCCUCUUCGUCUCAGCCACCUCAGCAGAGAAGUGCUCCUGACAUCUCUUUCACCAUCGAUGCGAAUAAGCAGCAAAGGCAGCUGAUUGCUGAGCUAGAAAACAAGAACAGAGAAAUCUUACAGGAGAUCCAGAGACUUCGG